This is a non-coding RNA of Callithrix jacchus (white-tufted-ear marmoset), 3508 nucleotides long. Lineage: Eukaryota; Metazoa; Chordata; Mammalia; Primates; Cebidae. The record is from RefSeq and is a predicted model, not a curated record.
GGGCCCGGCAGAGCGUGGGGCGGCGCGUGUUGACAGCGGCGGCGUUGGAGCCUGGCGGGCGGCGGGAGUCGGCGCUUCGGGUUCCUGCCUCGCGUCCCUGGGCGGCGGCGGCCGGGCGUCCCGGGAUGGCCUUCAUGGAGAAGCCGCCAGCCGGCAAGGUGCUGUUGGACGACACGGUGCCGUUGACAGCAGCCAUCGAGGCGAGCCAGAGCCUGCAGUCCCACACGGAAUAUAUCAUUCGGGUGCAGAGAGGAAUUUCUGUGGAAAACAGCUGGCAGAUUGUUAGAAGAUACAGUGACUUUGAUUUGCUUAACAACAGCUUACAGAUUGCAGGCCUAAGUCUACCUCUUCCUCCCAAAAAAUUGAUUGGUAACAUGGAUCGUGAAUUCAUAGCUGAGAGGCAGAAAGGUCUUCAGAACUAUCUCAACGUGAUCACCACAAAUCAUAUAUUGUCUAAUUGUGAGCUGGUUAAGAAGUUUUUAGAUCCAAACAAUUAUUCCGCAAACUACACUGAGAUUGCCUUACAACAGGUUUCCAUGUUCUUCCGAUCAGAACCAAAGUGGGAGGUGGUGGAACCUUUGAAAGACAUAGGUUGGAGAAUAAGGAAGAAGUAUUUCUUGAUGAAGAUUAAAAAUCAGCCAAAGGAACGGCUAGUGUUAAGCUGGGCUGACCUUGGCCCGGACAAGUAUUUGUCAGAUAAAGAUUUUCAGUGUCUAAUCAAACUUCUGCCUUCCUGUUUGCACCCUUACAUCUAUCGGGUUACCUUUGCCACAGCUAAUGAAUCCUCAACGUUGCUAAUUAGGAUGUUUAACGAAAAGGGAACUUUGAAGGAUCUGAUCUACAAGGCAAAACCGAAAGACCCAUUUCUAAAGAAGUACUGCAACCCUAAGAAGAUUCAGGGCCUGGAACUCCAGCAAAUAAAGACAUAUGGACGGCAAAUAUUAGAGGUACUGAAGUUUCUUCAUGACAAGGGAUUCCCUUAUGGGCAUCUUCAUGCCUCCAAUGUGAUGCUCGAUGGGGACACUUGCCGGCUGCUAGACCUUGAGAAUUCCUUAUUGGGCCUGCCUUCCUUCUACCGAUCUUAUUUUUCACAAUUCAGAAAAAUCAAUACAUUGGAAAGUGUGGAUGUCCACUGCUUUGGCCACUUACUGUAUGAAAUGACUUAUGGACGACCGCCAGAUUCGGUGCCUGUGGACUCCUUCCCUCCGGCCCCGUCCAUGGCUGUGGUGGCCGUGUUGGAGUCUACGCUGUCUUGUGAAGCCUGUAAAAACGGCAUGCCUACCGUCUCCCGGCUCUUACAGAUGCCAUUAUUCAGCGAUGUUUUACUAACCACUUCUGAAAAACCACAGUUUAAGAUCCCUACAAAGUUAAAAGAGGCAUUGAGAAUUGCCAAAGAAUGUAUCGAAAAGAGACUAAUCGAAGAACAGAAACAGAUUCACCAGCAUCGAAGACUGACAAGAGCUCAGUCCCACCAUGGAUCUGAGGAGGAAAGAAAAAAAAGAAAGAUUUUAGCUCGAAAGAAGUCAAAACGAUCUGCUCUUGAAAAUAGUGAAGAGCAUUCAGCGAAGUACAGCAACUCCAAUAAUUCAGCAGGAUCUGGGGCCAGCUCACCUCUCACAUCCCCGUCAUCGCCAACUCCACCCUCUACAUCAGCAUGCACCAUUUUGAACGUGAAUUUUCGGGCCUUUGAUGGACUGCCAGGUUCCCAUGUGGCUUGAUGGAGAGGAUUUUGGGGAGAGUGGAGUAAGUAGUUGGCUCUCCAGGAUUUUGUCUAAGAGAAAGUGAGAUGGGAGAAAUCAGGACUGACCUAAUCAUAACAGAAGGUAAGCUGUUUGGAGCAUCCCCCAUCCUGGACACAAAUUCAGGUAUCAUCAGUUUAACAUGGAAUCGGUCUGCUCUUGUAUGUGGCCUGGAGAUAAGGGUAUUGGAGGCCUCUUGGCAGGAGGGACUCAUUCGUAUUCUAGGUGUGAAGAGAGCGCAGGCAGCAGGCAAUUGUUCCCAGGUUUGUCACAGGCCAAAUGGUCAACUUUCAUUUGGCCCUGUUGCCCCUGUCCCCUCUUACCUCCAUUGUUAGCCACGUGUUGUAGCUGAAGCCCCAGUGGACCUUUCAGGAAGCUUGUAGACCAUGGCAAGGGCCGAAAGGAAAAGCCAAAAACAAUCAAUGGUGUGGACUGAGUGAGAGUGAGUCCCAGGCCUGUGUUCCUGCCUUCUCGUUUUCACCUUCUGACUCCCAGACCUCCUCUCCCCUGUUCCAAACUGAAAAGUUGGGUUUGGCCUCUUUGCCCUGGUUGUACCCAAGAGCCACCAUGGUUGUUGCAGGCCCAGUGAGGAAAAGCAGACCUGCUGGGACAUCAAGCCCCACUGGACUGCUCGGGAUGGCUGGGGCCACAUCAGGGAGAUCCUGCUGCCUGUCCUUUCGUUCCAUUUGUUUUACAUGCACAGGUUUCCCUGGAGCUCUUUGGACAGCAUAUUUAUUUACACCACCUACAUUUUCAAAGAGACUCAUUUAAAGUGACAAUGGUUUCAGCCUUUACUUGGACCACUCCCAAACUCUGCGGUGGUGCAUUUGCACUUCUAAUUUUGAGGGCCUGGUAAUGAGGCCAAAACCAAGGGUUGGUUCUCUGUGAGACCAAGCAGUUUUGUUCUGUGCCAAGAUGGCAGGCCCUACCCCAUCUCCAGCCUCCCAGAAUCCUUGCCUGGAGGGCUGGUCCAUCUCUAGAUGGUCAGUGCUGUGCCUUUAGUUGAACUCCCAAGUAGAACUCCCUCGCCUACUGCUGCAGCUGAGAACCUGUCCUUAACUGUGCAGUGAUUCUUCUGCCAGGGGUCAAAGCACAAACCUGGGAAGCAGAAACCCUGGAGCUCCUUCUGUUACACACUGGGCCCUGAUAUCAAGUCCAGAUUCCGCUGCCCUUUUCUGGCCAUUGGGUGGGAGGGUUCUAGGGAAGGGCAUUGGCACCUACUCACCCCCAAGUGGCAGAGCUCACUCCUCUGGGCCCCCUUGGUGCUGCAGUCAAGAGACUGAAUUCCAAAAGCCUUCAGCAGAGGUCUCCCUUCCUCCAGAAGUCAUCUUUAGAGGAAUGCUUAUCACAUAUGCUUAUUUUCUUAUUGUCCCUCCUCAACAGUCACCUCAGGUUUAAAGUCCUUCUUAUCUUUGUAACCCUGUGACAUAAAGCCAGGAACAUUUUCCCACAGUCCACCCUAGCAUAAAACAUAACAGAAUUUCAUUCAUCAGUUGUUAUUGUGUAGAACCAAUGAACAUAUUGGUCAUUUGUCUGUAUUUAACCUUUAUUUGUAUUGCUAUAUUUGAGCAUUGCAAGAUUGCAGAGCAUGAGCGUGUAUAUUUGUGUGAUUCUUUAAUUUCAGCUGCCUUAGGUUUGGGUAAAAGAUAUAAAGAAAGGGAUAUCUGCAUUACCUCCACCUCCUCCACCUCUACCACCACCAGCAGCUCCCUUGCCUCCUGCGAGCACAGAGGCACCUGCCCAGCUCUCGCCCCAGGCUGAGAAUGGCG